RNAcentral lists this unclassified non-coding RNA (435 nucleotides) under uncultured Ascomycota. Its description in RNAcentral is "sequence contains ITS2". The stretch from base 1 to 153 matches the Rfam family "5.8S ribosomal RNA". Lineage: Eukaryota; Fungi; Ascomycota. The record is from RNAcentral.
AACUUUCAGCAAUGGAUCUCUCGGCUCUCGCAUCGAUGAAGAGCGUAGCGAAUUUCGAAAAUUAAGGCGACUUGCAUAAAUCGCGAACCAUCGAGUUCUUGAACGCACACUGCACCCUCUGGUUACCCGGAGGGUCUGCCCGGCUGAGUAUCGAUUAACCCAACAUCGCGCCACACUGUGGCCGCGGACGAGUGAGGGUUGGCCGCGCAAGCAGCCGUCCCUUGAAAUGCACAGCUUGAGCCCGCGUUUGUCGGGCUGCGUGUUGCAACUCCACACUUGUGGGGCCAGCGCGUGGCAAUCCCCGCCCUCGCAUCGCCAAGCACGCGACAACGACGCGCACGAGCAGCCGUCCACACGGCUGGCUCGCGCACCAAACGCGAUCUCAACUCGGGCAGGAUUACCCGCUGAACUUAAGCAUAUCAAUAAGCGGAGGCU